UAAAAACGAAGUAGGUCAGUACGAUUUGGAAGUAACCACGUUUCAGUUGGCUGUGUUGUUUGCAUGGAACCAAAGACCUAGAGAGAAAAUCAGCUUUGAGAAUCUAAAACUUGCAACGGAACUCCCUGAUGCUGAACUUAGAAGGACUUUAUGGGUUUGUUUUAUUUUCUGUUUGGCUUUGUUUUUAAAAUGUGUCAUAUAGCUGGGGAUAUGUAGAUGGCUCCUAAAAAUUGGAG
This 236-nucleotide long non-coding RNA is filed under the name Rattus norvegicus (Norway rat). Its description in RNAcentral is "long non-coding RNA NONRATT028574". The record is from RNAcentral. Lineage: Eukaryota; Metazoa; Chordata; Mammalia; Rodentia; Muridae.